ACGCUCGACACCUACGGGAGGCGGCAGUUGGGAAUAUUGGACAAUGGAGGAAACUCUGAUCCAGUGACGCCGCGUGAAGGAAGAAGGUCUUCGGAUUGUAAACUUAUUUUGUCAGGGAAGAAAAAAUGACUGUACCUGAAGAAAAAGCACCGGCUAACUACGUGCCAGCAGCCGCGGUAAUCUGAGCGGGCUGGCAAGGC
This 200-nucleotide ribosomal RNA is filed under the name uncultured bacterium. RNAcentral's name for it is "partial 16S ribosomal RNA". It matches the Rfam family "Bacterial small subunit ribosomal RNA", at positions 328 to 539 of the family's 1533-position model. The record is from RNAcentral.